This 741-nucleotide unclassified non-coding RNA is filed under the name Hevea brasiliensis (rubber tree). Lineage: Eukaryota; Viridiplantae; Streptophyta; Magnoliopsida; Malpighiales; Euphorbiaceae. The record is from RNAcentral.
UUGCGCAUUUCACGAUCGCCGGUGGUGAUUAUUCCAACGGUUAGCUACAAUGGGAGUUGAUUACUAUAACUUACUGAAAGUAUCUAGGAAUGCGAGUGAAGAAGAUUUGAAGAGAUCGUACAAGCGAUUAGCGAUGAAAUGGCAUCCAGAUAAGAAUAGUCAGAACAAUAAGGAAGCAGAAGCGAAAUUCAAGCAGAUUUCUGAGGCGUAUGAUGUGCUUAGUGAUCCUCAGAAGCGUCAGAUCUAUGAUUUGUACGGUGACGAUGCGUUGAAGUCUGGUCAAUUUGCUUCGGCAUCGCCGACUAGUGCUGGUAGUGGGACUGGUAAUGGUAGAGGGUUUAGAUUCAAUACGCGUGAUGCGGAGGAUAUUUUUGCUGAGUUUUUUGGUGGAUCGGAGGGGCUUAGUAGUGGUUCAGGUGCCGGAGUUGGUAGGAAAGCAGCGCCGGUGGAGAAUAAACUUCCGUGUAGCUUGGAAGAGCUUUACAAAGGAUCUAGAAGGAAAAUGAAGAUCUCAAGGAUUCUUCUGGAUGACUCUGGUAAGCCAACAACUGUUGAAGAGGUCUUAGCAAUACACAUCAAACCAGGUUGGAAGAAAGGCACAAAAAUAACUUUUCCAGAGAAAGGGGACUAUGAAUAUGGAGCUGCCCCGGGUGAUCUUAUUUUUGUGAUUGAUGAAAAGCCACAUGCUGUCUUCAAGAGGGAUGGAAAUGAUCUAGUCACGAAUCAGAAAAUAUCGUUACU